AGAGAGGAGAGAGAGGCUUGGGCAUUCCCUCACAUUCCACUUGACAGAUCUGCGCGGUGAAGCUGCUGCUCCUGGAGUGAGUGGAAGAAAGACAUUUCUCCUCCGCGCUUGAGGAGGAUUCAUCACGAGAACAUAAUGCAGGAGGAUGGCAAGGUGGUGGAUGGCAGUCUGCUGGGUGAUGCCAAUGGGGUGGAGCCUGGCACAGGCCGACAGAAGGAGAGCGGCAAAUGGCAGAGGCCUCGAUUCACACGGAAAGCCCUCAUGAGGUGCUGCCUGGUCAAAUGGAUCAUCGCCAGCACCGGACCCAAAGAGCAAGUUGCAGUGAAGGAUGACUGAAGCAUUCCAGUAUCCAACAAAAUCGAAAACUGUCAGACACAAUGUUAACAUGAAGAUGACAUCAGACAAAGUACGUUCGUAAUUGCACUCCUCUGGCUGAGCAAAAAUUAUUUUCAGGUUUCUCGUGUAACUUGUGCUCUGAUUGGUUCACUAUUACAUCCUUGAUACUUAUGCAGUUUGUGUGCUUGUGUGGUACAUACAUAGCUAAAACAUUAUAAAUCAAGCUAGCAUGCAAAAGUCCAUCAACAUUUAUGCAAACAACUCAUUUUUGAAAUCCUAACCGGCCAGUUAUUAAAUGGCAGGACCAAGCAUCUGAUAGCAUUGCUUCACCUGCAAAAAAACCCGGAAAUGUCAUCCAUUUAGAUGCAAAUGGGAAGAGAAAUGUUUAUGGCUAAGAUAUAAGACCGUCAUCUGAGAAAAGUGUUUUGCUCGCACUGUGUACAAUAAGUUUGGGACAAAAGCUUAAAGUGGUUUAUACAACUCUUUCGCUAGAAGUCAUAUGAUAGCUUUCU
This is an RNA transcript of Sinocyclocheilus grahami, 848 nucleotides long. It is a transcript of the gene named calsenilin-like, with no coding region annotated. The record is from RefSeq and is a predicted model, not a curated record. NCBI's taxonomy places the organism in Eukaryota, Metazoa, Chordata, Actinopteri, Cypriniformes, Cyprinidae. The transcript is spliced from 3 exons.